GAACGCUGGCGGCGUGCCUAAUACAUGCAAGUCGAACGAGGUAGCAAUACCGAGUGGCGAACGGGUGAGUAACACGUAGGUAACCUGCCCUUAAGCUUGGGAUACCCAGAGGAAACUUUGGCUAAUACCGGAUAACAACAGAGAAGGCAUCUUCUUUGCUUGAAAGGCCCCUUCAAGGGUCACUUAAGGAUGGACCUGCGGCGCAUUAGCUAGUUGGUGAGAUAACAGCCCACCAAGGCGAGGAUGCGUAGCCGAACUGAGAGGUUGAUCGGCCACAUUGGAACUGAGACACGGUCCAAACUCCUACGGGAGGCAGCAGUAAGGAGUUUUCGGCAAUGGGGGAAACCCUGACCGAGCAACGCCGCGUGAGCGAUGACGGCCCUAUGGGUUGUAAAGCCUCUGUUGUAAGCCAUGAAUGAUAGCUUGAGGAAAUGCAAGCUAUUUGACGACAGCUUACCAGAAAGCCACGGCUAACUACGUGCCAGCAGCAGC
Molecule: ribosomal RNA, 492 nt
Filed under: uncultured bacterium
Lineage: Bacteria
Description: bacterial SSU rRNA
Rfam family: Bacterial small subunit ribosomal RNA
Source: RNAcentral